This 497-nucleotide ribosomal RNA is filed under the name uncultured bacterium. RNAcentral describes it as "partial 16S ribosomal RNA". It matches the Rfam family "Bacterial small subunit ribosomal RNA", at positions 28 to 507 of the family's 1533-position model. The record is from RNAcentral.
GAUGAACGCUGGCGGCGUGCCUAAUACAUGCCAGUCGAGCGAACGGACGAGGAGCUUGCUUCUCUGACGUUAGCGGCGGACGGGUGAGUAACACGUGGAUACCCUACCUAUAAGACUGGGAUAACUUCGGGAAACCGGAGCUAAUACCGGAUAAUAUCUUGAACCGCAUGGUUCAAUAGUGAAAGACGGUUUUGCUGUCACUUAUAGAUGGUUCCGCGCUGCAUUAGCUAGUUGGUAAGGUAACGGCUUACCAAGGCAACGAUGCGUAGCCGACCUGAGAGGGUGAUCGGCCACACUGGAACUGAGACACGGUCCAGACUACUACGGGAGGCAGCAGUAGGGAAUCUUCCGCAAUGGGCGAAAGCCUGACGGAGCAACGCCGCGUGAGUGAUGAAGGUCUUCGGAUCGUAAAACUCUGUUAUUAGGGAAGAACAUAUGUGUAAGUAACUGUGCACUUCUUGACGGUACCUAAUCAGAAAGCCACGGCUAACUACGUG